This is an RNA transcript of Pipistrellus kuhlii (Kuhl's pipistrelle), 1597 nucleotides long. RefSeq lists it as uncharacterized. The transcript has 3 exons. NCBI's taxonomy places the organism in Eukaryota, Metazoa, Chordata, Mammalia, Chiroptera, Vespertilionidae. The record is from RefSeq and is a predicted model, not a curated record.
UCUCAAUGUGCUUUUCUCUUCCCUUCUAAGGGUUCCCCUUUCUUCCUUCCUCCCUGGCCCUUCCUCUCCCCAUCCCCACGUCUGUCCCUCUGUCUUCCUGUGAGACAGUUUGUAUUAUCUCACCAGCAGCACAGGACAGGACUUCUGCUUUUGCCCCGCCCCCACGCAGAGGCAGAGGCCUCACCGCCCCGCCCUCGCAGCCAGGCUGGAGCUGCGCAAAGAAACACUAAGCUCCGGGCCGGCUUCCCGGGGAAGCCGAGCAGGACCCGGGCUGUCACCGGGUCCCUGCCCUGCAGGCCAGGAUGCCUCCCUGAGACUGUCACGCACCCCCACCCUGAGGCUGGCAGCCCUGACCCAGCCAACCCCACUUCGGCCACGUACCCCAGCCCCACUCACACCAACAUCCUCUUUGGUCUUUUCACUGGUCACCCGGGCCAGUGUUGCUGAUGGCCCCCUGCGCUGGCCGCUGCGGGGCCUCCGCCAGCCUGGAAGGAGGUGGGUGCCCUGCAGGUGGGGGCCCCACACCCCACAAAGAGGCGAGAGCCUCCAGGCAGGUGCAGGUUGGCGGGGAAGCAGUGAGCAGGCCUCAGGGUUGCCCUCCCCCAGUACCCACCCUCCCCCCCAGCCUGCAGCAGCCUCGCCACCUCCUUCCGGUCGACAUCACAGCCCUUGCCCCUCCCCAGGGCCAGGACUGGCCUCACCCCGAUGACAUCCUGUCUCUAUCGGCCCUGGCACUGGCUCGAGCUCACUGCUACUCAUGCCACUCCCUCCUGGGGCUGCCCCUCCGCUGCACACCACAAGCACUGAUUCACUUUAUCUGCAGGUUCCACACCCUUCUCGAGGCGCUGCGUGCCCAGGGGCCUGCAGGUGGACGGGCAGGCUGGGCCCCUGCUCCAGGGCUGGGCCACAUCCUUGGUCCGCAGGGGCAUCCUGCUGUGUCAGCCCAGCACCCGCUCAUGGGAAGGUGCAGGGAUAACUGGUCCUGCUGAUUGAGACACCCAUCUGUCCCCACAGCUCUGCUCCCCUCCCUCCGUCUUCAGCCAGCUGGUCUCCAGGAGCGCCCUGCACAGCCCCUGGUGCCCGGCCCCUCCCUUCCCCUCCGCAGGGGCACUCCGCGCCCACCUGCUGCAGACAGGGCUGAGGCUCCACUGGCGAGCUGUCUGAGGAGGGGGCCAGAGGCCAAGGCUGCUGCCAGGGAGGAGGCUGGCAGGGUCUCAGAGCCUGGUGCAGAGCCCAGGCUCCUGGUCCGUCUGCUCCUCCGGGUGGGGCCUUGCGGUCCGGCCGCAGCUCUGGGAGGAAACGCCCUGGAGAGGACACGCCAGUGGCCGUCCUGCCGCGCUGUGCCUUCCGUGCCCAGGACCACUCCCUGCGGCUGCCCUCCCAUCCUCCCCACGCUGACCGGGGCCAGCACUGUGAGGGAGAGGCUGUGCCCGCCCGCUCCCCGCUCUCGUGCUGAGAAGACGGCUCUUCUCUGUGACUGAACAAUCUCCAAAAUGGAAAUGUAUAUUUUUGCUAGGAGCCCCCGUUUCCUGUGUUUUUAAUAUAAAUAGUGUACACAGACGGAUGAACUUUAAAUAAAUGGGAAUUAAGUAUUUAA